ACGCUCGACACCUACGGGAGGCAGCAGUAGGGAAUCUUCCACAAUGGGCGCAAGCCUGAUGGAGCAACACCGCGUGAGUGAAGAAGGGUUUCGGCUCGUAAAGCUCUGUUGUUGGAGAAGAACGUGCGUGAGAGUAACUGUUCACGCAGUGACGGUAUCCAACCAGAAAGUCACGGCUAACUACGUGCCAGUAGCCGCGGUAAUCUGAGCGGGCUGGCAAGGC
Molecule: ribosomal RNA, 223 nt
Filed under: uncultured bacterium
Lineage: Bacteria
Description: partial 16S ribosomal RNA
Rfam family: Bacterial small subunit ribosomal RNA
Source: RNAcentral